This is a long non-coding RNA of Magnolia sinica, 1119 nucleotides long. RefSeq lists it as uncharacterized. Lineage: Eukaryota; Viridiplantae; Streptophyta; Magnoliopsida; Magnoliales; Magnoliaceae. The transcript is spliced from 4 exons. The record is from RefSeq and is a predicted model, not a curated record.
UACAACUCCAUCAUGUUGUCCAUCAACUGUAUCACAUUCUCAAGUGGACACAUCACACUCACACAAGAGAUAUGUGGUUUUUCACUGUGACAUUAUUUCAAAGGGAAACAACAAUAGCUCACCUUGAAAAGCUAGAAAGUUGAUUUUAGCUCAAUCUAUGGUUUGCAUAAAGUGGAUCUCAUCAUUGUGGAGUUUCUUUCGGUAGUGUUUAUUUACUGUGUGAAAUCAAUUGCAGGACUUAUCUACGUGCAAGGAAACAUUGUCAACCCUUAAAGUCAUGCAGGGGCAAGGAGGCUAUCCACAACUAGAACUGGACAUAGCUCACCUUGAAAAGGAAAUUGAGUUAUAUUCACUGGAGAAGCUGUGUUAUGAAGCUCAAAUGAUGGUAUGGUAAAUGAGAAGGCUCCAUCUCCUUUUCAAAUAGGUCCAUUUCUCAGCUUCAAAAAUACAAUUGGGAAUGGAAUUUGUUCAGGAAGAAAUCAUAUGAGAGAGGCACGAGCGAACAAUGAAGCCAAAACUAAACUUGAGAGAAGCUGGGGAGCGAGAAGCUACCCUUGUUCAAGCACUUGAAUAACUGAGGCAGACUCUUAGUAGAACAGAGCAGCAGGCAGUUUUUAGAGAGGACAUGGUUCGAAGAGACAUUGAUGAUCUUCAAAGAUUGGGUGGAGGCAGCCAUGAUACGAUUGGAUAUGAGUGAAUAUAUAGAGCGGCAAAGAAAGUAGUUGGCAAGAUUAAAGUGGAAGGUUAGUUUUCAAUGGUAUAAACCGAAUGUGGGUGCUAAUUGAUGAAUUUUUAGGGAUUCUAUGCCCACUUUUUAGUCUUAAGCACAACCUGUGAAGUGAUAUGAGCUUAGCUAUAGGAACUUUCUGCUCAAGAUGCCACUCCUGCUUCCUUUCCCAUUCGAAGUUGUGAUGCUGCUACAAUUUUCUUUUUUCUAAGAAUUUCAACCAUUGUGGUAUUGGAUGCUCCAGGCCUGGUCAUAUGGAGAACUUUGUCUUGGUUUUUAAUUAAUUGUGGGCUUUUCUAUCAUAUUACUGUUCUUUUUAGAGAAUGUGCAAAUGAAGUGGUGAGCUUUCACAAUUUUUGCUUCAGUUAUUUUCUCUAGGAAUGCAACUAUAG